Long non-coding RNA from Cydia pomonella (codling moth), 278 nucleotides. RefSeq lists it as uncharacterized. The transcript has 2 exons. Lineage: Eukaryota; Metazoa; Arthropoda; Insecta; Lepidoptera; Tortricidae. The record is from RefSeq and is a predicted model, not a curated record.
GGCACAUUAAAUUAAAGUGAAACUGCUGACUACGAUUGUUCAGUGUCCAAGUGCUUUCCAAGCUGCAAUACCGAAUUAAACAAGGAGCUGCAUUGCCCGGUUUGAUAUACACCAUUUGAUAUGGAAUACAAGAUGAAAGUUACACACAAGUGAAUCGAUUCAAGAAAUCAAAGAAUCAUACACUAGAUUAACUGGAAAAACUUGUUGCGAAAAAUAAAGUAUUAUAAAUGAUAUCUGAAUUUAAUUUUUGAUAAUAAAAUACAUUUUUAGUUACCUUA